CGCUUUGGGAGGAGCUCGCUUACUAUCAGCUUGUUGGUAGGGUAAUGGCCUACCAAGGCUAUGACGGUUAGGGGGUGUGAGAGCAUGACCCCCAGCAUUGGCACUGAAACACUGGCCAAACACCUACGGGUGGCUGCAGUCGAGAAUCUUCCACAAUGGGGGAAACCCUGAUGGAGCGAUGCUGCGUGCGGGAUGAAGGCCUUCGGGUUGUAAACCGCUUUUGUAGGGGACGAAAUUUUUGACGGUACCCUUUCGAAUAAGAGGUUGCUAACUCUGUGCCAGCAGCAGCGGUAAUACAGAGACCUCAAGCGUUAUCCGGAUUUACUGGGCGUAAAGCGUCUGUAGGGGGUUUAUUAAGUUCCAAGUAAAAUUUCAAGGCUCAACUUUGAAUUCGCUUGGAAAACUAAUAAACUGGAGUCUAGCAGAGGUGCAUGGAACUUGUGGUGUAGGAGUGAAAUCCGUUGAUAUCACAAGGAACACCAAAGGCGAAGGCAUUGCACUGGGCUAGCACUGACCCUGAGAGACGAAAGCGUGGGGAGCAAAACGGAUUAGAUACCCGUGUAGUCCACGCCCUAAACGAUGAAUGCUAAAUGUUCGGGGAUUCGACCCCCUGGGUGUUACAGCUAACGCGUUAAGCAUUCCGCCUGGGAAGUACGGCCGCAAGGCUAAAACUCAAAGGAAUAGACGGGGAUCCGCACAAGCGGUGGAGCGUCUGGUUUAAUUCGACAGUAAGCGUGGUACCUCACCAGGGUUUGACAUCCCUUGACAGCCUUGGAAACAAGGUUUCCUUCGGGCAAGGUGACAGGUGCUGCAUGGUCGUCGUCAGUUCGUGCCGUGAGGUGUUCCGUUAAGUCGGGAAACGAACGAAACCCCUAUUGCAUGUUACAAUUUCUCAUGCAAGACUGGCCGGAUAUACUGGGAGGAAGGUGGGGAUGACGUCAGAUCUGCAUGGUCCUUAUACCCUGGGCGACACAGGCGCUACAAUGGCAGAGACAAAGGGUUGCAAAACCGCAAGGUGAAGCUAAUCCCAAAAACUUUGUCUAAGUUCGGAUUGAAGGCUGCAAUUCGCCUUCAUGAAGCUGGAAUCGCUAGUAAUCGUGAAUCAGCCACGUCACGGUGAAUAUGUUCCCGGAUCUUGUACUCACCGCCCGUCACACCAAGAGAGUUGGUAGCUCCCGAAGCGUCCCGUUUAGCGGGGC
This 1199-nucleotide ribosomal RNA is filed under the name uncultured organism. RNAcentral's name for it is "bacterial SSU rRNA". It matches the Rfam family "Bacterial small subunit ribosomal RNA", at positions 216 to 1455 of the family's 1533-position model. The record is from RNAcentral.